CACAAACAGAAGAGCAUCCCCUUCCUUUAUUUUACAAGAGUUUUGUACAAUCCAAACAGCUGCUGUGUUUCUAAACUGAUUUCUGAACAGCGUAUAAACAACACAAAAUAACAGACACAAAGGCAGAAACAAAAAGCCAAAAACCCUGUACAGAGUCCUGUAAACAAACCAACACAAAAAAAUGGAAACUCCAUAUCUCUGCCCGCUCAUGACCUCUGACCUUUUAGAACAGCAUAUGGAGACUGUUGCUACGAUACAAACAUAAAUAAAAGAAUCUGUGUCAAAGGCAGCACAUAUUUAAUGCUUCUUCAUUAAAAUAGUCACAAUCUGGAAAUCUGACAUUUAAAAAGGUGCAAAAGAGGAUGAGCAGGGCAAGAUCACAAGCUAAUUUCCAUACUAGAUAUGGAAGAACAAAGACGACAGUAAAAACUGAAAUGUCUUGAUUGUUUAGUCGUGUCAUACUGAAGCUCUUUUCAUGUUAUCAUCUUGAUAACACACACACACACACACACACACCAAACGCACCCAACCAUCUGUGCCUGGGCAGUAGAGUGUGUUGCACACCAUGUGUCCCACUGUUAUGUGUCAAACGAGCAUCGGCUGGCUCAUAUGGCACUGCCCCCGCGCACGUACACACACGCACACACACACAGAGCACUGACCUAGCCUCUUACACUCAAGUCUCAGAGUGUGUCAGCUCAACGGGAGCUCUUGAUUCAAAGCCCAGAACUUCCAGAGACUCAAAGUUCCAGUUUGAGAUCUCAAAGAUUCAGUGAUGCUUCCAGUACUGGCUUUAAGAACGUGAGUAGUUAAAGGCUUUCUACUUAAAUAAUCAAUAAAGUCCAUCAGUCUGUCCAUCUAUUUAAAGAACGGUGUGUGGCUGUUUUUUGAAAUGUAAUUUUAACACACUGCAUACUAUUAAAAAAAAUACUAAUAAUAACUUUUACUCCAGUUCAGUUUAAGAAACUCAAAUUACUGAAAGUUGAGAGUUUUAACAAAACUGGACUAUUAUUAUUUGGAGUUUAAUAUGAAUAAAAAAAAAUGAAAGUAUAUAAAUAUAUAGUUGCUGUAAUAAUACUAAUUAAUAACACUCCAACUUGAGUUUCUUAAACAAUAAUAUAUAUACAU
This is a long non-coding RNA of Cyprinus carpio carpio, 1128 nucleotides long. NCBI's taxonomy places the organism in Eukaryota, Metazoa, Chordata, Actinopteri, Cypriniformes, Cyprinidae. The record is from Ensembl.